GUUUUUAUGGUUGAAUACAACACUGGUUCUUCGGGUCAGGGGUUUUGGUUAAAAUCCAAAUAAAAAUU
RNAcentral lists this transfer RNA (68 nucleotides) under Stereochilus marginatus (many-lined salamander). RNAcentral describes it as "tRNA-Glu". It matches the Rfam family "tRNA". Rfam says of the family: Transfer RNA (tRNA) molecules are approximately 80 nucleotides in length. Their secondary structure includes four short double-helical elements and three loops (D, anti-codon, and T loops). The record is from RNAcentral. Lineage: Eukaryota; Metazoa; Chordata; Amphibia; Caudata; Plethodontidae.